GUAUUGUAUGAAGGGAGAAGUUAGUGUUCCCCUUGAUGAAGGUGCAAGAGAACCUAGUGGCCUUUCCAACAUAUGAGCAGCUAAGAUGUUGCCACCUAUUCUGUGGCAUCUAACCCUCUUUUUAG
This is a small nuclear RNA of Monodelphis domestica (gray short-tailed opossum), 125 nucleotides long. Lineage: Eukaryota; Metazoa; Chordata; Mammalia; Didelphimorphia; Didelphidae. The record is from Ensembl.